UUUGAAAUCUCACUGUAAAUAGAGAUUCAUAAUUCCAAGCAAGAAAAAAUCUCACAUAAAUAGUUCUUUUAUAA
RNAcentral lists this transfer RNA (74 nucleotides) under Candidatus Nitrosarchaeum limnium SFB1. RNAcentral's name for it is "tRNA-Lys". Lineage: Archaea; Thermoproteati; Nitrososphaerota; Nitrososphaeria; Nitrosopumilales; Nitrosopumilaceae. The record is from RNAcentral.